Molecule: ribosomal RNA, 1886 nt
Filed under: Galeopterus variegatus (Sunda flying lemur)
Lineage: Eukaryota; Metazoa; Chordata; Mammalia; Dermoptera; Cynocephalidae
Description: SSU rRNA
Rfam family: Eukaryotic small subunit ribosomal RNA
Source: RNAcentral
ACCUGGUUGACCAGUAGCAUAUGUUUGUCUCCAUGUUAAGCCGCGCAUGUCUCCUGGUACAGUGUAACUGCGAAAUGGCUCAUUAAAUCAUUUGGUUUCUUUGGUCGCUCGCUCCUCUCCUACUUGGGUAACUUGUAAUUGUAGAGCUAAUACAUGCCGAACGGGCGCUGGAACCCCUCGCGGGGGGCAUGAGUGCAUUUAACAUCAAAAUCAACUCGUUCAGCUUCCUCCCGCGGCCGGGGGCGGGCGCCAGCGGCUUUGUUGACUAUAUAACCUCGGGCCGAUCGCACGUCCCCGUGGCGGCCACGACCCAUUUCAACGUCUGCCCUAUCAUCUUUCGAUGGUGGUCUUGGUCGCCCUGACCAUGUGUGACGGGGAAUCAGGGUUCGAUUCCUUAGAGGGAGCCUGAGAAACACAUCACAUCUAAGGAAGGCAGCAGGCGCGCAAAUUACCUACUCCAGAACCGUGGAGGUAGUGACGGAAAAUAAUACAGGACUCUUUCAAGGCCCUGUAAUUGGAAUGAGUCCACUUUAAAUCCUUUAACGAGGAUCCAUUAGAGGGCAAGUCUGGUGCCAGCAGCCGCGGUAAUUCCAGCUCCAAUAGCGUACAUUAAAGUUGCUUCAGUUAAAAAAGCUCGCAGUUGGAUCUUGAGAGCGGGCGAGCGAGCGGCCUCACGGCGCCCCUGAUGCUCUUAGCUGAGUGUCCCCGUGGGGCCCGAAGCGUUUACUUUGAAAAAAUUAAUGUUCAAAGCAGGCCACGAGCCGCCUGGAUACCGCAGCUAGGAAAUAAUGGAAUAGGACCGCGAUUCUAUUAUGUUGCUUUUUGGGACUGAGGCAAUGAUUAAGAGGGACGGCCGGGGGCAUUCGUAUUGCGCCGCUAGAGGUGAAAUUCAUGGAAGGGCGCAAGACGGACCANCGCCUGGAUACCGCAGCUAGGAAAUAAUGGAAUAGGACCGCGAUUCUAUUAUGUUGCUUUUUGGGACUGAGGCAAUGAUUAAGAGGGACGGCCGGGGGCAUUCGUAUUGCGCGCUGGAGGUGAAAUUCUUGGCACGGCGCAAGACGUACCAGAGCGAAAGCAUUUGCCAUGAAAGUCGGUGGUUCGAAGACGAUCAUAUACCGAUCAGAUACCGUCGUAGUUCCGACCAUAAACGUUGCUGACUCGCGAUGUGGCGGCGUUAUUCCCAUGACCCGCCGGGCAGCUUCCGUGAAACCAAAGUCUUUGGGUUGGGGGGGGGAGUAUGGUUGCAAAGCUGAAACUUAAAGGAAUUGAUGGAAGGGCAGCACCAGGAGUGGGGCCUGCGGCUUAAUCACGGGAAACCUCAACCUGCUCCGACACGGACAGGAUUGACAGAUUGAUAGCUCUUUCUCGAUUCUGUGGGUGGUGGUGCAUGUCUGUUCUUAGUUGAUGGAGCGAUUUGUCUGGUUAAUUCCGAUAACGAACGAGACUCUGGCAUGCUAUCUAGUUAGGCGACCCCCGAGCGGUCGUCGUCCACCAACUUGUUAGAGGGACAAGUGCCGUUUAGCCACCCGAGAUUGAGCCUUAACAGGUCUGGGCAGGUCUGGGAUGCCCUUAGAUGUCCGGGGCUGCACGCGCGCUACACAGUCUCAGCGUGUGCCUACCCUACGCUCUGAACCCCAUUCGUGAUGGGGAUCGUGGAUUGCAAUUAUUCCCCACGAACGAGGAAUUCCAAGUAAGUGCGGGUCAUAAGCUUGCGUUAAGUCCCUGCCCUUUGUACACACCGCCCACCGCUACUACCUAUUGGAUGGAUGUUUUUGUGAGGCCCUCGGAUUGGCACCGCUUAGGCGGAGCGCUGAGAGGACGCACGAACUUGACUAGAGGAAGUAAUUUUUACUUUUACAAGGUUUCCGGAGGUGAACCUGCUGAAG